GCGCGGGUGGCGGAACUGGUAGACGCGUACGUUUGAGGGGCGUAUGCCUCUGGCGUAAGGGUUCGAGUCCCUUCCCGCGCA
RNAcentral lists this transfer RNA (81 nucleotides) under Elusimicrobiota bacterium. RNAcentral's name for it is "Elusimicrobia bacterium (anaerobic digester metagenome) tRNA-Leu". It matches the Rfam family "tRNA". From Rfam's summary of the family: Transfer RNA (tRNA) molecules are approximately 80 nucleotides in length. Their secondary structure includes four short double-helical elements and three loops (D, anti-codon, and T loops). The record is from RNAcentral. Lineage: Bacteria; Pseudomonadati; Elusimicrobiota.